This 613-nucleotide ribosomal RNA is filed under the name uncultured bacterium. Its description in RNAcentral is "bacterial SSU rRNA". It matches the Rfam family "Bacterial small subunit ribosomal RNA", at positions 243 to 847 of the family's 1533-position model. The record is from RNAcentral.
AGCUAGUUGGUAAGGUAACGGCUUACCAAGGCGAUGAUGCAUAGCCGAGUUGAGAGACUGAUCGGCCACAAUGGAACUGAGACACGGUCCAUACUCCUACGGGAGGCAGCAGUAGGGAAUCUUCCACAAUGGGCGCAAGCCUGAUGGAGCAACACCGCGUGAGUGAAGAAGGGUUUCGGCUCGUAAAGCUCUGUUGUUGGAGAAGAACGUGCGUGAGAGUAACUGUUCAUGCAGUGACGGUAUCCAACCAGAAAGUCACGGCUAACUACGUGCCAGCAGCCGCGGUAAUACGUAGGUGGCAAGCGUUAUCCGGAUUUAUUGGGCGUAAAGCGAGCGCAGGCGGUUGCUUAGGUCUGAUGUGAAAGCCUUCGGCUUAACCGAAGAAGUGCAUCGGAAACCGGGCGACUUGAGUGCAGAAGAGGACAGUGGAACUCCAUGUGUAGCGGUGGAAUGCGUAGAUAUAUGGAAGAACACCAGUGGCGAAGGCGGCUGUCUGGUCUGCAACUGACGCUGAGGCUCGAAAGCAUGGGUAGCGAACAGGAUUAGAUACCCUGGUAGUCCAUGCCGUAAACGAUGAGUGCUAGGUGUUGGAGGGUUUCCGCCCUUCAGUGCC